Molecule: ribosomal RNA, 439 nt
Filed under: uncultured bacterium
Lineage: Bacteria
Description: bacterial SSU rRNA
Rfam family: Bacterial small subunit ribosomal RNA
Source: RNAcentral
AUUAAUGCCCCAUGGUACCGCGAUAUCGCAUGAUAUUGCGGUUAAAGAUUUAUCGGACAGGGAUGGCCAUGCGUACCAUUAGUUAGUUGGUGGGGUAACGGCCCACCAAGGCAGCGAUGGUUAGGGGCCCUGAGAGGGGGAUCCCCCACACUGGUACUGAGACACGGACCAGACUCCUACGGGAGGCAGCAGUGAGGAAUAUUGGACAAUGGGCGGGAGCCUGAUCCAGCCAUGCCGCGUGCAGGAUGACGGCCCUAUGGGUUGUAAACUGCUUUUAUACGGGAAGAAACGCACCUACGUGUAGGUGUCUGACGGUACCGUAAGAAUAAGGACCGGCUAACUCCGUGCCAGCAGCCGCGGUAAUACGGAGGGUCCGAGCGUUAUCCGGAAUCAUUGGGUUUAAAGGGUCCGUAGGCGGGCCUGUAAGUCAGGGGUGAAA